UACGGGGGGGGCAAGCGUUGUUCGGAAUUACUGGGCGUAAAGGGCGCGUAGGCGGCUCAUGAAGGCUGUGGUGAAAGUCCGGGGCUCAACCUCGGAUCGGCCGUGGCGACUCGUGGGCUGGAGCACUGUAGAGGCGGGUGGAAUUCCGGGUGUAGCGGUGGAAUGCGUAGAGAUCCGGAAGAACACCAGUGGCGAAGGCGGCCCGCUGGGCAGUGGCUGACGCUGAGGCGCGACAGCGUGGGGAGCAAACAGG
Molecule: ribosomal RNA, 253 nt
Filed under: uncultured bacterium
Lineage: Bacteria
Description: partial 16S ribosomal RNA
Rfam family: Bacterial small subunit ribosomal RNA
Source: RNAcentral